AUGGAACCAAUCGAGGAGAAACUUGUCCAACAUCGUUUGAGAUGGUUUGCGCAUAUUCAGCUCAGGUGCAUACCAAAAAGGCUUUCGCCCCGCUUUAUAAAUAAAGCAAACCGCCACAAACCACCAAGUACCACAAUCGAGUCCACAACACACACACACACAACAAGAAGUACAAUAGGUUCUGCUGAGGGCACAUCUCAACAAGCCCAAAGAAACAAAAAGACCGGUAACACCAGAGAGCCAUGGAUAAAGCAUGCUGAUAAUGUCAAGAGAGGCCGGGGAAGGCCAAACUUGGCAUGGGAGGAGUCCAACAAGAGAUCCGAAGGACUGGGAUAUCACCAACGAACUAGCCAUGGACAGGGGUUCGUGGAAGCUAGCUAUCCAUGUGCCAGAACCAUGAGUUGUGUUGCGAGAUCUAAUGGAUUUCAGCUCUAG
RNAcentral lists this ribosomal RNA (435 nucleotides) under Triticum aestivum (bread wheat). Its description in RNAcentral is "partial small subunit ribosomal RNA". Lineage: Eukaryota; Viridiplantae; Streptophyta; Magnoliopsida; Poales; Poaceae. The record is from RNAcentral.